This 484-nucleotide ribosomal RNA is filed under the name uncultured bacterium. RNAcentral describes it as "partial 16S ribosomal RNA". It matches the Rfam family "Bacterial small subunit ribosomal RNA", at positions 30 to 507 of the family's 1533-position model. The record is from RNAcentral.
AUUGAACGCUGGCGGCAUGCCUAACACAUGCAAGUCGAGCGGAUGAAGGGAGCUUGCUCCUGGAUUCAGCGGCGGACGGGUGAGUAAUGCCUAGGAAUCUGCCUUGUAGUGGGGGAUAACGUCCGGAAACGGGCGCUAAUACCGCAUACGUCCUGAUGGAGAAAGUGGGGGAUCUUCGGACCUCACGCUAUCAGAUGAGCCUAGGUCGGAUUAGCUAGUUGGUGGGGUAAAGGCCUACCAAGGCGACGAUCCGUAACUGGUCUGAGAGGAUGAUCAGUCACACUGGAACUGAGACACGGUCCAGACUCCUACGGGAGGCAGCAGUGGGGAAUAUUGGACAAUGGGCGAAAGCCUGAUCCAGCCAUGCCGCGUGUGUGAAGAAGGUCUUCGGAUUGUAAAGCACUUUAAGUUGGGAGGAAGGGCAGUAAGUUAAUACCUUGCUGUUUUGACGUUACCAACAGAAUAAGCAACGGCUAACUUCGUG